GCCCGCCUAGCUCAAUCGGAUAGAGCGUCAGACUCUUACUAGGCGGGAAUCUGAAGGCUGCGAGUUCGACCCUCGCGGUGGGCU
This 84-nucleotide transfer RNA is filed under the name Trametes cingulata. RNAcentral describes it as "tRNA-Lys". It matches the Rfam family "tRNA". Rfam says of the family: Transfer RNA (tRNA) molecules are approximately 80 nucleotides in length. Their secondary structure includes four short double-helical elements and three loops (D, anti-codon, and T loops). Lineage: Eukaryota; Fungi; Basidiomycota; Agaricomycetes; Polyporales; Polyporaceae. The record is from RNAcentral.